UGCAAUGACCCUUUUAGACCAAAAAUUCGUUAUAGGCGAAGUAAAUUCACUCUCAUGUGACCGGUGCAGUGGAAGCCCGCAGUCAGCUGCUUUGUGCAGUGCAUUGUGGGAGUGACACGCACCAAAAUAUAGUCUCCUGUGUGGAUCUCUGCCAUCCCCAUCAUGAUAGUGCCCUGUGGUUGUGUGUGCUGUCUGCUGUUGGUGAGUACCAAAACUGUCUUG
This is a long non-coding RNA of Gavialis gangeticus (Gharial), 222 nucleotides long. RefSeq lists it as uncharacterized. Lineage: Eukaryota; Metazoa; Chordata; Crocodylia; Gavialidae. The transcript is spliced from 2 exons. The record is from RefSeq and is a predicted model, not a curated record.